This 427-nucleotide ribosomal RNA is filed under the name uncultured bacterium. RNAcentral describes it as "partial 16S ribosomal RNA". It matches the Rfam family "Bacterial small subunit ribosomal RNA", at positions 355 to 774 of the family's 1533-position model. The record is from RNAcentral.
UGGGGAAUAUUGCACAAUGGGCGCAAGCAUGAUGCAGCCAUGCCGCGUGUAUGAAGACGGCCUUCGGGUUGUAAAGUACUUUCAGCGAGGAGGAAGGCGUUGUGGUUAAUAACCGCAGCGAUUGACGUUACUCGCAGAAGAAGCACCGGCUAACUCCGUGCCAGCAGCCGCGGUAAUACGGAGGGCGCAAGCGUGAAUCGGCAUUACUGGGCGUAAAGCGCACGCAGGCGGUCUGUCAAGUCGGAUGUGAAAUCCCCGGGCUCAACCUGGGAACUGCAUCCGAAACUGGCAGGCUAGAGUCUUGUAGAGGGGGGUAGAAUUCCAGGUGUAGCGGUGAAAUGCGUAGAGAUCUGGAGGAAUACCGGUGGCGAAGGCGGCCCCCUGGACAAAGACUGACGCUCAGGUGCGAAAGCGUGGGGAGCAAACA